This 460-nucleotide ribosomal RNA is filed under the name uncultured bacterium. RNAcentral's name for it is "partial 16S ribosomal RNA". It matches the Rfam family "Bacterial small subunit ribosomal RNA", at positions 338 to 795 of the family's 1533-position model. The record is from RNAcentral.
CCUACGGGUGGCAGCAGUGAGGAAUAUUGGUCAAUGGGCGAGAGCCUGAACCAGCCAAGUCGCGUGAAGGAUGACGGCCCUACGGGUUGUAAACUUCUUUUGUCAGGGAGCAAUUGAGUCCACGUGUGUGCUUAGCGACAGUACCUGCAGAAAAAGCAUCGGCUAACUCCGUGCCAGCAGCCGCGGUAAUACGGAGGAUGCGAGCGUUAUCCGGCUUUAUUGGGUUUAAAGGGUGCGUAGGCGGAAUACCAAGUCGGCGGUAAAAAUCCGGGGCUCAACCCCGUCGUGCGGUUGAAACUGAUGUUCUGGAGUGGGCGAGAGGUAGGCGGAAUGCGUGGUGUAGCGGUGAAAUGCGUAGAUAUCACGCAGAACUCCGAUUGCGAAGGCAGCAUGCCGGAGCCCAACUGACGCUGAAGCACGAAAGCGUGGGUAUCGAACAGGAUUAGAUACCCGAGUAGUC